AAGGAUAAGCAAGUAAUGAGAACGUUACGAAAUCCGUAUGAAAAUAGGAAAUUCGAGUAGAAGUCAGUAGACUUCAAGGGAAUUUAUCAUUUUCACUAGGAAUUUAGUUCGAAUACACUUGCUCGGAAUCCUGUACGUAGUCUUCUUCAAUUUUGAGAGGUCUGUGGGGCCUUAGCUCAGCUGGGAGAGCGCCUGCUUUGCACGCAGGAGGUCAGCGGUUCGAUCCCGCUAGGCUCCAUCGGUAACGAAAGUUACCAAACAGAAUACAAAGGUUCAAGUAGUUGAACACGACCUCAUUUUCUAGGAAAAAAGAUAAACUUCCUAGUGUGCAAGGCACACUUCGUCAGUUUCCUAUUUUUCUACAAGAAUGUCCCAUUGUGGGAACGGUCUUUGUAUCCUAUCUUUGUCCAUUGAAAAUCGAAUAUCUAUAUCAAAUUCCAUUUAUUUUAAGAAAUAAAUGACUAGUAACAAGAAAAUAAACCGAAACGCUGUGAAUUAAUGAGAAUUCUAGUUAAAAGAACUAGGUUCAUAA
Molecule: transfer RNA, 532 nt
Filed under: Streptococcus suis
Lineage: Bacteria; Bacillati; Bacillota; Bacilli; Lactobacillales; Streptococcaceae
Rfam family: tRNA (bases 166-238)
Source: RNAcentral